This is a long non-coding RNA of Chelmon rostratus (copperband butterflyfish), 312 nucleotides long. RefSeq lists it as uncharacterized. The record is from RefSeq and is a predicted model, not a curated record. Lineage: Eukaryota; Metazoa; Chordata; Actinopteri; Chaetodontiformes; Chaetodontidae. The transcript has 3 exons.
UGUGUGGAGUUUGCAUGGUCUUUCUGAGUUCAUGUAUGUUCCCGUGUAUUUCCUCCGGUUUGUUUUGUCUUCCACACUGACACUUGUCUUCUAUCAUGAAGUCACUUUGAAGUAAGUGAAAAAGGGGAAAAAAAUUAAAAGGAGAAGAAGACAUGAUGAGCAAGAUCUGAAGUUGUUUUCUCAGGUCAUCAUGAAAAGGCUCCAGUUGUUCUAACUGUCUGACAACAUUGUUAAAGGACCCCUGCAGAGGAACACUUUGUUAAAGAUGGUGUCCAGAGGGCAGUCCAGGACAGAGCCAGCUCUCCUGACCAG